UCUCAUCUCGAAAGCUGUUGCCAAAAUUUGAAACGAAGAAGGAAUUUGCUAAGGCUUUAGAAAAAUGAUCCAUCUUUUUUUAUUUAUUUGAUUAAAAACGAUUUGUAACCUCAACCCCACACCCAAAACAUGAAUUGAAUAGAACACCUAUUGGUAUAAUAGUGUAAGGGGAUUAAUUUGGAAAAUGUAUUUUUUUUUACUAAAACAUGUAAUUUAUUUUUUUUUGCAUUGAAAAUGUAAUCUUAAGAUUUGUUCUUUAUUAAAAUGUGAUUUUUUUUAAAGCAUAUAAUACAAAUUGUCUGUUUUAAUAGUAAGGAAUAUACGUUUGAAAGGGCAUUUUUGUUUGCGAAUAGAGGAACCUUAGGACAUAAUUUUUUUUUGCUAAAAACUUGUGGUAUCGUUAAGAAAAAACCAAAUUCAACUUUUAGUACCAUAGGCAUACGAAAAUUAAAAAAAAAAAAAAAAAAAGUUCAA
Eupeodes corollae is the source of this 474-nucleotide long non-coding RNA. RefSeq lists it as uncharacterized. NCBI's taxonomy places the organism in Eukaryota, Metazoa, Arthropoda, Insecta, Diptera, Syrphidae. The record is from RefSeq and is a predicted model, not a curated record. The transcript has 3 exons.